This 428-nucleotide ribosomal RNA is filed under the name uncultured bacterium. Its description in RNAcentral is "bacterial SSU rRNA". It matches the Rfam family "Bacterial small subunit ribosomal RNA", at positions 355 to 775 of the family's 1533-position model. The record is from RNAcentral.
UGGGGAAUAUUGGACAAUGGGCGAAAGCCUGAUCCAGCGACGCCGCGUGUCGGAAGGAGUCCUUCGGGAUGUAAACGACUUUUGGUGGAGAUGAAUGAGCAGCUCAGGGAAUGGGGCUGUGAUGACGGUAUCCAUGGAAUAAGCCCCGGCUAACUACGUGCCAGCAGCCGCGGUAAGACGUAGGGGGCAAGCGUUACCCGGAAUUACUGGGCGUAAAGGGAGCGUAGGCGGGAGGUCAAGUCCGGUGUGAAAGACCCUGGCUCAACCAGGGAUGAGGGCUGGAAACUGACAAUCUUGAGUACAGCAGAGGAAGAGGGAAUUACCGGUGUAGGGGUGAAAUCCGUAGAGACCGGUAAGAAGGCCAGUGGCGAAGGCGCUUUUCUGGGCUGUUACUGACGCUGAGGCUCGAAAGCCAGGGGGGCAAACCG